Molecule: ribosomal RNA, 445 nt
Filed under: uncultured bacterium
Lineage: Bacteria
Description: partial 16S ribosomal RNA
Rfam family: Bacterial small subunit ribosomal RNA
Source: RNAcentral
GUGAGGAAUAUUGGUCAAUGGGCGAGAGCCUGAACCAGCCAAGUCGCGUGAAGGAUGAAGGUUUUAUGAAUUGUAAACUUCUUUUGCAGGGGAAUAAAGUACGGUACGUGUACCGUUUUGUAUGUACUCUGCGAAUAAGGAUCGGCUAACUCCGUGCCAGCAGCCGCGGUAAUACGGAGGAUCCGAGCGUUAUCCGGAUUUAUUGGGUUUAAAGGGUGCGUAGGUGGUUUGAUAAGUCAGCGGUGAAAGUUUGCAGCUUAACUGUAAAAAUGCCGUUGAAACUGUCGGACUUGAGUGUAAAUGAGGUAGGCGGAAUGCGUGGUGUAGCGGUGAAAUGCAUAGAUAUCACGCAGAACUCCGAUUGCGAAGGCAGCUUACUAAGCUACAACUGACACUGAAGCACGAAAGCGUGGGGAUCAAACAGGAUUAGAAACCCCGGUAGUCC